RNAcentral lists this small RNA (894 nucleotides) under Arabidopsis thaliana (thale cress). RNAcentral describes it as "ATSL176740". Lineage: Eukaryota; Viridiplantae; Streptophyta; Magnoliopsida; Brassicales; Brassicaceae. The record is from RNAcentral.
UAUUUGUUGGUACCUAUUGUCUAUGUCUAGAGACCGAAGCUUAACUUAAACUUUUGUUUUUUUUGUUGCAAAUGUAUUAAGAGAUUGUGAAUCUAAGUUAUGGUGUGCUUAUAUAUAACUGUUGCCACAUGAAUAAUAGAUAUUAAAGAGUACAACAAUGUUGAUUAACUUAGUUCCUCUGUACAUUGAAGAUUCCAAAUUUGUUCAUGGAGCUACAACGGUUCAACAAUAAUUCAAGCUCAAAAACCAAGAACUCUAAGAUGAAACACACUCACAGACAGACAUGAAAGUGAUGGAAGAUAGAUAGGUAUGAGAUCAUAAGUCUGUCUUCACUCUUUAGUUGAAGGUUUGGACAAUAGUGUUGUGCCAUGGGUCAGACAAGUGCUGCAACAGAUUCUCAAAUGGUCCUUUUCCAGUCACAUUGUGUUGAACCACAAACCCUAAGAAUGCCAACAUCGCCAACCUCCCUGCAACAACAACAAAAAUGUCUUUUAAGUCUUUUAACUACAACUAGCAGUUUCUUGCAUAACAAGAAUAGCGGAUUAGUCUAAGCUUACCGUUUGCUAGCUCUUUCUCCUUGGCCUCUUGCGUAGGAGCAAAGUUAAGCGGGUUAAAGAUUCCACCAGGGUAACCAACUUCACCCUUAGGUAAGCUGUAUUGCUUAAAGAUAGGGUCUUGGUUCACACUUCCUGGGUUCUUGAUGUCUUGCCACCGUCUGAUCUCAACGUAAUGAAACAAUAUGAACUCGAUCACGAACAAUGUCGACGACGAUGCAAAAUACUGCUCUUUCCCAGCAUCGUACCACUCAGGAACAUUUAUGAUUCCUACCAACAGUUUUGACAAUGUGUUAAGUUCUUGAAAGAAGUUAUAAAUUGUUUUAAGGUCAUGUUAAUG